RNAcentral lists this ribosomal RNA (349 nucleotides) under uncultured bacterium. RNAcentral describes it as "partial 16S ribosomal RNA". It matches the Rfam family "Bacterial small subunit ribosomal RNA", at positions 338 to 679 of the family's 1533-position model. The record is from RNAcentral.
CCUACGGGUGGCUGCAGUAGGGAAUCUUCCACAAUGGGCGAAAGCCUGAUGGAGCAACGCCGCGUGGGUGAAGAAGGUCUUCGGAGCGUAAAACCCUGUUGUUAGAGAAGAAAGUGCGGGAGAGUAACUGUUCACGUGUCGACGGUAUCUAACCAGAAAGCCACGGCUAACGACGUGCCAGCAGCCGCGGUAAUACGUAGGUGGCAAGCGUUAUCCGGAUUUAUGGGGCGUAAAGGGAACGCAGGCGGUCUUUUAAGUCGGAUGUGAAAGCCUUCGGCUUAACCGGAGUAGUGCCUUGGAACCUUGGAGACUUGAGUGCAGCAGAGUAGAGUGGCACUCCCUGUGUAGC